UAGAAUUCCAAGAUAGGCCCCGCCUACUCCUCGUGCUCUCCCCACACUUCCCUACCGAUACAGGCUGAAGUCCCACCCCCUCAACACGAUGGAGCCGUCCGAACUUGCGAUGUUCUGCCCUGAUAACUGAGGGGCCGGCCGGUCCUUCACAGCAGUAGCUCCACCUCCCCAUUGCUCUGUGUAAAGCGAGGGUGAACUGCUGCCAAAUCCCGGUUCGCCCGCAAAGGGAUGGGGAGGCUGGCUGGAACCCAAGUCGCUGGAGGAGGGAGAGGGGUACGAACGGCGCCGAGGGCCAAUCCGCCCCGCGAUGGGGAAGACUGCAGGACUUCAAGACCACACCGCUCGCUCGGCACAGGCAAACGGACCUUGUGUUUCUCUGAGCCUCGGUUUCUAGUCCGGGAGGGGCGGAAUAAAACAAUUUGAGGAUCACUUCCAGACUUGACUGUGUGUUGAGCACUUGUUGAGUCCCAUCACCACCCGGGUUAAGAUGUCUUUUCCUGGCCAGU
This is a long non-coding RNA of Antechinus flavipes (yellow-footed antechinus), 506 nucleotides long. RefSeq lists it as uncharacterized. The record is from RefSeq and is a predicted model, not a curated record. Lineage: Eukaryota; Metazoa; Chordata; Mammalia; Dasyuromorphia; Dasyuridae. The transcript is spliced from 2 exons.